RNAcentral lists this ribosomal RNA (468 nucleotides) under uncultured bacterium. Its description in RNAcentral is "partial 16S ribosomal RNA". It matches the Rfam family "Bacterial small subunit ribosomal RNA", at positions 28 to 507 of the family's 1533-position model. The record is from RNAcentral.
GACGAACGCUGGCGGCGUGCUUAACACAUGCAAGUCGAACGGCAAGGCCCUGCUUUUGUGGGGUGCUCGAGUGGCGAACGGGUGAGUAACACGUGUGUAACCUGCCCUUGACUUUGGGAUAACUUCAGGAAACUGGGGCUAAUACCGGAUAGGAGCUCCUGCUGCAUGGUGGGGGGUGGAAAGUUUCGGCGGUUGGGGAUGGACUCGCGGCUUAUCAGCUUGUUGGUGGGGUAGUGGCUUACCAAGGCUUUGACGGGUAGCCGGCCUGAGAGGGUGACCGGCCACAUUGGGACUGAGAUACGGCCCAGACUCCUACGGGAGGCAGCAGUGGGGAAUAUUGCACAAUGGGCGGAAGCCUGAUGUAGCAACGCCGCGUGCGGGAUGACGGCCUGCGGGUUGUAAACCGCUUUCGCCUGUGACGAAGCGUGAGUGACGGUAAUGGGUGAAGAAGCACCGGCUAACUACGUG